UCCGGCGGUUACAGCGAAAGGGUCACACCUGUUCCCAUUCCGAACACAGCAGUUAAGCCUUUCUGCGCCUAUGGUACCUGGAGGGCGACCUCCCGGAAGAGCAGGUCACUGCCGGAU
Molecule: ribosomal RNA, 117 nt
Filed under: Clostridiales bacterium
Lineage: Bacteria; Bacillati; Bacillota; Clostridia; Eubacteriales
Source: RNAcentral